Molecule: long non-coding RNA, 759 nt
Filed under: Mytilus galloprovincialis (Mediterranean mussel)
Lineage: Eukaryota; Metazoa; Mollusca; Bivalvia; Mytilida; Mytilidae
Source: RNAcentral
AAUAAAUCCCAGUUCAAAGUAACAAGUGCAAUCAUUCCAGGUACAAAAUGACUUGUGUGAUAAUGCCUGGUGCAAAAUCACUAGUGUAAUCAUUUGUUUGAACAUUUCUUGGAUGAAAAACACUAGUUUACUAUGUCCAUUUUGUUUUAGCUAAAUCAGCUAUGCCAGUUUUAAUUAUUCAAAUACCUCCCAAAAAUACCAAGCCAAUUUAAAAAAAAAAUAUUUCCCCUUAAAAAACACUCUUUGAAAUAGUGGUGUAUAUUUAACACUGAUCCCGGAUUAAAAACCCUAGUGAAUUUUUGUUGGUGGAUAAAAAACACUAGGGAUUUUGUUCAUCCGGAUAAAGUACACUGGCGGAAUCAAACCACUGCUACAUCCAUAUACUUAAAUUCCAUUUGAACCAUUUGAUCGUAAUAACCAAUGACACAGAAGAACUCCAACCCAUAUAUCAUACUGUGCCAUACGUUUUGUUGAAAAGUCAUUAUAUAACUUUGUUUUAAAAACAAUGUUAUAUAUGAACAUAUACAAUAUCUCUACACUUACAUAUGAAACGUAGCUUACAACAAAAACAUUUGUGAAAUAAAGGUACCACUGAGGUUCUGGUUGCAUAUAAAGAAUAUAGAAACAUUGACCAAAGAAAGAAGGUAUUGAUAAAAAUGGGGGGGGGGGUAAAAAUACAUAAUUGAGGAUAAUAGGUUAUGAAAUAUAGAAUCGAGGUAAAAUGGCAUAAGAAAUUCAAGAAUACAUAAAUGAAGAAAC